Molecule: ribosomal RNA, 376 nt
Filed under: uncultured bacterium
Lineage: Bacteria
Description: bacterial SSU rRNA
Rfam family: Bacterial small subunit ribosomal RNA
Source: RNAcentral
UACAGAGGGUGCAAGCGUUAAUCGGAAUUACUGGGCGUAAAGGGUGUGUAGGUGGCAAAGUAAGUUAGGUGUGAAAUCCUCGGGCUUAACCUGAGAAUUGCGCUUAAUACUGCCGUGCUAGAGUACUGUAGAGGGUAGUGGAAUUUCCAGUGUAGCGGUGAAAUGCGUAGAUAUUGGAAGGAACACCAGUGGCGAAGGCGACUACCUGGAUAGAUACUGACACUGAGACACGAAAGCGUGGGUAGCAAACAGGAUUAGAUACCCUGGUAGUCCACGCUGUAAACGAUGAGAACUUGCUGUUGGGUGCAUGAAAGCACUUAGUAGCGGAGCUAACGCGUUAAGUUCUCCGCCUGGGGAGUACGGCCGCAAGGUUAAA